Molecule: long non-coding RNA, 1503 nt
Organism: Tympanuchus pallidicinctus (lesser prairie-chicken)
Lineage: Eukaryota; Metazoa; Chordata; Aves; Galliformes; Phasianidae
Exons: 2
Source: RefSeq, a predicted model, not a curated record
UCUCAGAUCUCACUCUGCAGGACACAGACAGGGCUGCUUCCCUGCCCUGCAGUGACACACGGAGGGCAGGAUGUGGAAGCUGAUGCACAGCAUCCUACCAGUACAUUCUGUCUUUUGCUUAGCAGCCAAACGUGGGACUUCCUUUUGAUGCCGUGUUGCCUUUCACUUACAUCGGACUGUGAGCAGUUGUCUCAUAGGGAACAAAAGAGUGAAAUGGAAUAAGGAAUAAACAAGGAGCAAGACAAAGCUGUCACUGCAUUUGUUAAGAGCUGAAAGAAGAAGAGGCAAAAACCUCCUGCAGCAGAGACUCGAUAAUCACCUUCCCAAAUGGGACUGUUAUUGUAAUUGCCAAGCUCUUUGUAUAGCAGCAUAUAGCGACAGUCAUUGCAGCGCUGGAAUUGCCCGUGAAGAACAUGCAGUGUAGAAAAGAAAUAAGGAUCUUUCCAUCAGUGAAAAUCUUCAUUAUCGGGAGAGGCUGGAGAAACUGAGAUCAUCUUCAAAGAGAAAGGAGAAUGCUAUAGAGGCAUUUCUACAUAUUUUCAGGUCAGCGGAAGGGAAUGGUGUUUAUACAUUUUUCUUAGCCUGAAAGAAUUUUAAACAACUAGGAGAGAAUAAGAUGAAAUAGGGAGUUCAAAUGGAAAUCUGCAAGGAUAUCAGUCUUUCCCAGUGUACCAGCAAGACAUUGACGCAAUGUCAUCUGGAGCCAGUCUGUUCUAACUGAGGCUUUUGAAACAUAAUGAACUUUGCCAUUUCAAAUUAGUACUGACAAACAAAAUAGCUGACUUAUCUCUACUCAGAAAUUACUCUAAGGAAAGAAAAUGCAGGCAAUUUAGUAGGAGACUUGGUGCUUACAGAAAGUAUUUGAGAUGACGAAUUUGUUAUUGAGACAUUAUUCUGUUUUCUGAGUUGGAGUCACAAGUGAAAGGGGAAAUACUUCAGCCCAAAGUAAGGGCUGCUCCAGUUUGGGAACCUUUGUGUCACAGAGACGGGCAUGGUUUGAUCUGGGAAUUUCAAAAGAUACAGCAGAAGAGCAGUACUUGGUAUCCUCCCUGCUUCAGAGACAUCAGUUCAUAUGUAUCCUUCAACUGUUUUCAAACCCAGGCAGACAGCAUUCUGACCACAUGGAGGGAUGGAAAAGUGUUCAGGAACAACCUCUUAUCCCUUCCAGUCCCUGGAGAAGUUACAGAAAAAGCCACAUCUCACUGCAAAGGAGCUAAAUCUCUUAACGGAAAAGCCUUCUGUAUAAUGAGUACCUUCAAAACAAAUGUAAAUUCUCACACACUGCUAAUGUCAAAUGAGAAAUUCCUGUGCAGGGCUGAGCCCCAGGUGAGUAACCAACCUUAUUAGCUUGAAGCAUCAGCUGCUGGCAUUUGAAAGGUAUCCAUUGUGGCUGGCCCAUUAUUAAUGACUGUAAACACUUGAACUUCAAACUGAUAAAUGUUAAAAGUUUAAGUGCAUAGAUUGUUGCUAAUGCAUUGAAACGGAAAACUGUGUUCUUUAAAG